CAAAUAGGCAAGUCGNACGGCAGCACGGGGGCAACCCUGGUGGCGAGUGGCGAACGGGUGAGUAAUACAUCGGAACGUGCCCAGUCGUGGGGGAUAACGUAGCGAAAGCUACGCUAAUACCGCAUACGAACUGAGGUUGAAAGCGGGGGACCGAAAGGCCUCACGCGAUUGGAGCGGCCGAUGGCAGAUUAGGUAGUUGGUGGGGUAAAGGCCUACCAAGCCGACGAUCUGUAGCUGGUCUGAGAGGACGACCAGCCACACUGGGACUGAGACACGGCCCAAACUCCUACGGGAGGNCCNACUGGGGAAUUUUGGACAGUGGGCNCAAGCCUGAUCCAGCCAUUCCGCGUGCAGGAUGAAGGCCCUCGGGUUGUAAACUGCUUUUGUACGGAACGAAAANCUUUGGGUUAAUACCCUGGAGUGAUGACGGUACCGUAAGAAUAAGCACCGGCUAACUACGUGCCAGCAGCCGCGGUAAUACGUAGGGUGCAAGCGUUAAUCGGAAUCACUGGGCGUAAA
Molecule: ribosomal RNA, 519 nt
Filed under: uncultured bacterium
Lineage: Bacteria
Description: bacterial SSU rRNA
Rfam family: Bacterial small subunit ribosomal RNA
Source: RNAcentral